CGAGCUGAACUUGAUGCACUAGCUAGAAGGUAACAAUGCAAAACUUGUAUAAAAUCCUGAAGUUCUCAUAAUGGUGUAAUUUUCUUUGAAUUCUUCUUUUAUGUGACAAUUCAGGCUUCAAGGAAUUACUAAAUCUAUCUCAAGGUAUCCAACAUCCAGACGCCAUUUCCAAAAUUUUGUGAAGAGACUGUUAGAAGAUCUGGUGAAGAAGAAUGUUGACAGCAAAUCAAGCAAUGGAACUCCAGCAUUUUCAAGAUCAAAAAGUGCCCUUGCUAUCUUCCAGAAAUCUUUUAAAAAUAGAUCAAGCUCCAAUGACUCUGAUCAAACGCCACAACCAAUUGAAAGAGACGUAGAAAUUGUAUAACAAUGUGUUAGUAGCGGAACAGAAACCAUCUCAUUUUCAAUUUUGUUUUGGCUAAGUGUAAUUAUUAUUUUAAUCAUCUUGGCUCAGGGAGCUACAUUUUGUUUUCAUCUUCCUAUUGCUGUCACCUUAGGAGAUUAAUGCAAGUCCAUGCAUGAAAUCAAAAUUAUUAUUUAUUAUCAAGUCUCUGAAUUUUUGAUUUGGUGUCUAAGUUAUAGGAAAAUUCACAAUAAUUCGCAAAGCAAAGAAAAAGAUUAAUUGCUACUAAAAAAAAAAAAGAAAAGAAAAGA
RNAcentral lists this unclassified non-coding RNA (651 nucleotides) under Hevea brasiliensis (rubber tree). Lineage: Eukaryota; Viridiplantae; Streptophyta; Magnoliopsida; Malpighiales; Euphorbiaceae. The record is from RNAcentral.